RNAcentral lists this ribosomal RNA (221 nucleotides) under Musca domestica (house fly). Its description in RNAcentral is "partial 16S ribosomal RNA". Lineage: Eukaryota; Metazoa; Arthropoda; Insecta; Diptera; Muscidae. The record is from RNAcentral.
AUCAAUUAUUCAUAAAUUAAUGAUUUAAUUAAUUAAAAGUUUUUUAAAUUUUAAUAUCACCCCAAUAAAAUAUUAUCAACAAUCACAACAAAAAAAAUCCACAAAAUUGUAAUUAUCUAAAUAUAAAGAUUUAUAGGGUCUUCUCGUCUUUUAAAUUUAUUUUAGCUUUUUGACUAAAAAAUAAAAUUCUAUUAUAAAUUUUUAUGAAACAGUUAAUAUCU